RNAcentral lists this ribosomal RNA (374 nucleotides) under uncultured bacterium. Its description in RNAcentral is "bacterial SSU rRNA". It matches the Rfam family "Bacterial small subunit ribosomal RNA", at positions 524 to 898 of the family's 1533-position model. The record is from RNAcentral.
GACGAACCGUGCGAACGUUGUUCGGAUUCACUGGGCUUAAAGGGCGCGUAGGCGGGCAUCCAAGUCAGGGGUGAAAGCCCCCGGCCCAACCGGGGAAGUGCCUUUGAUACUGGAUGCCUCGAGCGGGAUAGGGGCAGCUGGAACUUUCGGUGGAGCGGUGAAAUGCGUAGAUAUCGGAAGGAACGCCGGUGGCGAAAGCGAGCUGCUGGAUCCCUCCUGACGCUGAGGCGCGAAAGCCAGGGUAGCGAACGGGAUUAGAUACCCCGGUAGUCCUGGCCCUAAACGAUGGGCACCAGGCCGUGGGCUGACAUGGGCUCACAGCCGAGGCAAAAGUGUUAAGUGCCCCGCCUGGGGAGUAUGGUCGCAAGGCUGAA